GACGAACGCUGGCGGCGUGCCUAACACAUGCAAGUCGAACGGAAAGGCCCUGCUUUUGCUGCGCGCUCGAGUGGCGAACGGGUGAGUAACACGCGAGUAACCCGCACUUGUAUUUGGGAUAACUUCAGGAAACUGGGGCUCAUAUCGGAUAGGAGCUCCUGCUGCAUGGUGGGGGUUGGAAAGAUUCGGCGGUUGGGGAUGGUCUCGCGGGUUAAGGGCUUGUUGGUGGGGUAGUGGCUUACCAAGGGUUUGACGGGUAGCCCGCCUGAGAGGGGGACCGGCGACAAUAGGACUGCGGUAGGGAGCAGUCUGGAACGGGAGGCAGCGGGCGGAAAUUUUACGCAAUAGGCGAGAGCGUGAGACGAAGACGCCGCGUGCGGAAUGACGGCCUACGGGUUGAAAACCGCUUUCGCCGGUGACAAAGCGUGAGUGACGGUAAUUAGUAAAGAAGCACCGGCUAACUACGUG
This 468-nucleotide ribosomal RNA is filed under the name uncultured bacterium. Its description in RNAcentral is "partial 16S ribosomal RNA". It matches the Rfam family "Bacterial small subunit ribosomal RNA", at positions 28 to 507 of the family's 1533-position model. The record is from RNAcentral.